GCCAGUGUGGCGUUGUGGUUUGAGUGUUAGACUACGACUCUGGAGAGCAGGGUUCGAUUCCCAGCUUGGCCA
Phrynosoma platyrhinos (Desert horned lizard) is the source of this 72-nucleotide non-coding RNA. Lineage: Eukaryota; Metazoa; Chordata; Lepidosauria; Squamata; Phrynosomatidae. The record is from the annotation of a GenBank genome assembly.